Molecule: long non-coding RNA, 451 nt
Organism: Leucoraja erinaceus (little skate)
Lineage: Eukaryota; Metazoa; Chordata; Chondrichthyes; Rajiformes; Rajidae
Exons: 3
Source: RefSeq, a predicted model, not a curated record
UCCUGACCUUGGGUGCUGUCUGUGUGGAGUUUGCACGUUCUCCAUAUGACCAUGAGAUUCCUCCAGUUGCUCCGGCUUUCUCCCACAUCCCAAAGAUGGAGCUGUUGAAGGUCCCCACGCAAAAAAUCAAACUGUCCAUUUUUCUCCACACAUGACCCAUUAAGUAUCACCAGCAGAUUGUUGCUCCAGAUUCCAGCAUCUGCAGUUCCCCGAGUCCCCUCUGACUUAUUUUCAUACUGGUCUUAUGCACUCUUGAAGAAGAAGAUGAGGCCAAUAUGGGAACCACAGAUUCUUCCGUAGAUGAGCAGGAGAUGCCCAAUGGGGCAGUGGGCAGACCCUCAUUCCAAGAGUUGAUGGUUAAUGCAGGGCCGACAAAUACAAAUUGAGCAAAAUUGCUUUGCAAGAUAGAAAUGCGAACAGUUUGGAAGUUAAUACACUCCUUAUGCUGGUU